CCUCAGAUUACAGCCUGAGGAACUCUUUCCAGGUCCCUUUCACGAGAACACUGUCCCCUCUGACUGCAGUGACUUUUAUCCCCCGCCCCUUCUCCCGCCUCCCUCACCAGGGCGCACACGCUCCUUGGCCCGGGUCGGCUGGCUGUGAUUGGCGGCGGCGGCCCCAACAGAUGACAGAGGAGACAAAGUGAUGGCUGCAGGUCGUCUGAGGUCCCACCCCGGCCACGUGCGGCUUCUGUGAUGACAGGUCCAGGAGGGUGGGGCUUUUUGCCUGACCAGCUACAACCCCAAAAUGACCAGAUCCAGCCGCCGGUGGGGAGCCAGAGCUCUGGCCAAAACUCAGUGCUGGAGUUCCUGAGGUCUGGCUGGUGUGAGGAACUUGAGCUUGAGCUUCCAUAAGGACUACUGAGAGUAGGCUGAGCAUACUGUGAAGAAAGAAGCUGUUGACCAUGAUGAUGUAUAUCUUAAAUCCCAGGGCUUGGGAGGAAGAGGCAAGCAGAUCUCUUGGAGUUCCAGACUAGUCUGGUCUACAUAAUGAACUCCAGGUCAGCUAAGGACACACACACACUGUUGCAGCAGAGUGGCACCUGCAGAGAUGACAGCAGAGCAGCCAGUUUUGACAUCCACAGAAGCAAU
RNAcentral lists this long non-coding RNA (636 nucleotides) under Cricetulus griseus (Chinese hamster). Its description in RNAcentral is "lncRNA (ENSCGRG00015042989.1)". The record is from RNAcentral. Lineage: Eukaryota; Metazoa; Chordata; Mammalia; Rodentia; Cricetidae.